GACGAACGCUGGCGGCGUGCCUAAUACAUGCAAGUCGAACGCUUCUUUCCUCCCGAGUGCUUGCACUCAAUUGGAAAGAGGAGUGGCGGACGGGUGAGUAACACGUGGGUAACCUACCCAUCAGAGGGGGAUAACACUUGGAAACAGGUGCUAAUACCGCAUAACAGUUUAUGCCGCAUGGCAUAAGAGUGAAAGGCGCUUUCGGGUGUCGCUGAUGGAUGGACCCGCGGUGCAUUAGCUAGUUGGUGAGGUAACGGCUCACCAAGGCCACGAUGCAUAGCCGACCUGAGAGGGUGAUCGGCCACACUGGGACUGAGACACGGCCCAGACUCCUACGGGAGGCAGCAGUAGGGAAUCUUCGGCAAAGGACGAAAGUCUGACCGAGCAACGCCACGUGAGUGAAGAAGGUUUUCGGAUCGUAAAACUCUGUUGUUAGAGAAGAACAAGGACGUUAGUAACUGAACGUCCCCUGACGGUAUCUAACCAGAAAGACACGGCUAACUACGUG
Molecule: ribosomal RNA, 508 nt
Filed under: uncultured bacterium
Lineage: Bacteria
Description: partial 16S ribosomal RNA
Rfam family: Bacterial small subunit ribosomal RNA
Source: RNAcentral